AACGAACGCUGGCGGCAUGCCUAACACAUGCAAGUCGAACGAGACCUUCGGGUCUAGUGGCGCACGGGUGCGUAACGCGUGGGAACCUGCCCUUAGGUUCGGAAUAACUCCCCGAAAGGGGUGCUAAUACCGGAUAAUGUCUUCGGACCAAAGAUUUAUCGCCUUUGGAUGGGCCCGCGUUGGAUUAGCUAGUUGGUAGGGUAAAAGCCUACCAAGGCGACGAUCCAUAGCUGGUCUGAGAGGAUGAUCAGCCACACUGGGACUGAGACACGGCCCAGACUCCUACGGGAGGAAGAAGUGGGGAAUAUUGGACGAUGGGCGAAAGCCUGAGCCAGCAAUGCCGCGUGAGUGAUGAAGGCCUUAGGGUUGUAAAGCUCUGUUAACCGGGAUGAUAAUGACAGUACCGGGAGAAUAAGCGCCGGCUAACUCCGUG
This 433-nucleotide ribosomal RNA is filed under the name uncultured bacterium. RNAcentral's name for it is "partial 16S ribosomal RNA". It matches the Rfam family "Bacterial small subunit ribosomal RNA", at positions 29 to 507 of the family's 1533-position model. The record is from RNAcentral.